Molecule: ribosomal RNA, 254 nt
Filed under: uncultured bacterium
Lineage: Bacteria
Description: partial 16S ribosomal RNA
Rfam family: Bacterial small subunit ribosomal RNA
Source: RNAcentral
UACAGAGGUCUCAAGCGUUGUUCGGAUUCAUUGGGCGUAAAGGGUGCGUAGGUGGCGGGGUAAGUCAGGUGUGAAAUCUCGGGGCUCAACCCCGAAACUGCACUUGAUACUGCCUUGCUUGAGUACUGGAGAGGAGAUUGGAAUUUACGGUGUAGCAGUGAAAAUGCGUAGAUAUCGUAAGGAACACCGGUGGCGAAAGCGGCUCACUGGAUCUCUUCUGACGCUGAUGCACGAAAGCUAGGGUAGCGAACGGG